GACGAACGCUGGCGGCGUGCUUAACACAUGCAAGUCGAACGGAAAGGCCCUGCUUUUGUGGGGUGCUCGAGUGGCGAACGGGUGAGUAACACGUGAGUAACCUGCCCUUGACUUUGGGAUAACUUCAGGAAACUGGGGCUAAUACCGGAUAGGAGCUCCUGCUGCAUGGUGGGGGUUGGAAAGUUUCGGCGGUUGGGGAUGGACUCGCGGCUUAUCAGCUUGUUGGUGGGGUAGUGGCUUACCAAGGCUUUGACUGGUAGCCGGCCUGAGAGGGUGACCGGCCACAUUGGGACUGAGAUACGGCCCAGACUCAUACGGGAGGCAGCAGUGGGGAAUAUUGCACAAUGGGCGGAAGCCUGAUGCAGCAACGCCGCGUGCGGGAUGACGGCCUUCGGGUUGUAAACCGCUUUAGCCUGUGACGAAGCGUGAGUGACGGUAAUGGGUAAAGAAGCACCGGCUAACUACGUG
RNAcentral lists this ribosomal RNA (468 nucleotides) under uncultured bacterium. RNAcentral describes it as "partial 16S ribosomal RNA". It matches the Rfam family "Bacterial small subunit ribosomal RNA", at positions 28 to 507 of the family's 1533-position model. The record is from RNAcentral.